This 301-nucleotide ribosomal RNA is filed under the name uncultured bacterium. RNAcentral describes it as "partial 16S ribosomal RNA". It matches the Rfam family "Bacterial small subunit ribosomal RNA", at positions 509 to 807 of the family's 1533-position model. The record is from RNAcentral.
CAGCCGCCGCGGUAAUACGAAGGGGGCUAGCGUUGCUAGGAAUUACUGGGCGUAAAGGGAGCGUAGGCGGACAUUUAAGUCAGGGGUGAAAUCCCAGAGCUCAACUCUGGAACUGCCUUUGAUACUGGGUGUCUUGAGUGUGAUAGAGGUAUGUGGAUCUCCGAGUGUAGAGGUGAAAUUCGUAGAUAUUCGGAAGAACACCAGUGGCGAAGGCGACAUACUGGAUCAUUACUGACGCUGAGGCUCGAAAGCGUGGGGAGCAAACAGGAUUAGAUACCCGGGUAGUCCCUGUCUCUUAUAC